UGGAAGUAAAGUCGUAACAAGGUUCCGUAGGUGAACCUGCGGAAGGAUCAUUAAUAAUGGCUCCGCGUUAGGAGCACUUAAUAAUCCUACCUUUGUGAAUUGUUGUUUGAAAUAAUUUUUUUAAAAUAUUGAAUGUCUUUCCUGUUGAAUUAGAGUGUUUUCGGACACAAAGAUUCGCAGGGGAUAGUCAAUAAUUUUAAAAAGACCUUUUUUAAUUAAACUUUGUAUUCAUCGUCUAAAUUAUUUUUAUAAUAUAAAAACAACUUUUGACAAUGGAUCUCUUGGUUCUCGCAACGAUGAAGAACGCAGCAAAUGCGAUAGUAGUGUGAAUUGCAGAAUACGUGAAUCAUCGAAUCUUCGAACGCAUAUUGCACUUUUUAGUUUACUAAAAAGUAUGUCUGUUUGAGUAUCAGUAAAUAUACUCAUAAAACAUUGUUUUUAUGUUAUGAUGUUUUACAACGAUACAGUUGUUUCACUUUAAUUUUUUAAAUUUGAUUUUUCUAAUUUUAAAAUAAAUUGGAUAAAUUUCCGUAAAAAGAAUAACCUAAACAUUUUAAUUUAAAUUAGAAACCUUCAAAAAAAAGAAUUAAUAAAUAACUUGAUCUCAAAUCAGAUAAGAGUACCGCUGAACUUAAGCAUAUCAAUAAGCGGAGGAAAGAAACUAACAAGAUUCCCUUAGUAACGGCGAGUGAAGCGGGAAGAGCUCAAAUUGAAAUCUAAGGUUUUACCUUGACGAUUGUAGUUUAAAGAAGUGUUUUCUGUGAAGUUUGGUAAAAGUCUUUGAAUAGGACACAUAGAGGGUGAGAAUCCCGUAUUGCCAUUAUUUCAGCUGUGUGAUACACUUUCAAAGAGUCGGAUUGUUGGGAAUGCAGUCCAAAAUGGUGGUAAAUUUCAUCUAAAGCUAAUAUUGGCGAGAGACCGAUAGCGAACAAGUACGUGAGGAAAGAUGAAAAGAACUUUGAAAGGAGUUACAGUACGUGAAAUUGUCAAAAGGAGCGUUUGACACCAGUGUUUUUCUCGAAAUCAAUAAAAGAGUUGGAUUUUGUUGUAUUGACCUUAACAGCUUUCUUCACUCUUUUCCUGCUUUUUUAAUGCACUUUCGUUUAACAAGUCACAUCAGUUUCUUUUGUUGUAAAAGGGUCAUUGGAAGGUGGCUUUCUUUCGGAGAAAGUGUUUAUAGCCUUUGAUCUCUGCAAUCGGAGAGACUGAGGUCUGCAGCGUAGAUCCUUCGGGUUAGAUACAUUGUGCUAAGCUAUAACUUUUCAUAGACAACUUGUGACUAUGUUUAGUCAUGUAGCUUACUCGCUUAUGCUAUUUUACCUACGCUUAGGAUGUUGAC
This 1339-nucleotide unclassified non-coding RNA is filed under the name uncultured Neocallimastigales. RNAcentral describes it as "partial contains small subunit ribosomal RNA, internal transcribed spacer 1, 5.8S ribosomal RNA, internal transcribed spacer 2, and large subunit ribosomal RNA". The stretch from base 600 to 1339 matches the Rfam family "Eukaryotic large subunit ribosomal RNA", at positions 1 to 630 of the family's 3401-position model. Lineage: Eukaryota; Fungi; Neocallimastigomycota; Neocallimastigomycetes; Neocallimastigales. The record is from RNAcentral.